Long non-coding RNA from Scylla paramamosain (green mud crab), 1572 nucleotides. RefSeq lists it as uncharacterized. The record is from RefSeq and is a predicted model, not a curated record. The transcript is spliced from 4 exons. NCBI's taxonomy places the organism in Eukaryota, Metazoa, Arthropoda, Malacostraca, Decapoda, Portunidae.
GUAGGUCCAUCAUUCACAUCUGAGCAAGGGAAGGCGGUGGACGAGGACCAGCAGGCGGAGCACACCACCACCACCGCCACCAGUGCGCAUCACCAGCACAGUCUGGAGGAUAGGAGGAAAUGUUGUUCCAGAUUCCAAGCUUGAAAAUCCAAGGCAAAUAGACUUGUAGAUGUCUGGUGUUGCAUUGUUAGAAUCUGGAAGUGUGGAUCCUCACUCCUUGAUCAAGCAGCAGCAGUGGCAGCAGUCAUUGCUGCCCAGAGGAGAGGAUGCAUCAGGAUGCAUCUGAGAGUGCUCACUGGCUGCCGGAGGCGAUAUGUCACUGAUUCAAUGUAACACGCAAGGCAGCCAAUCACAGGAAGGCUUUGUGUUAUCACCAAGAAUGCCAUGAGACAUUGUUUAUAAACUGUUAUGUGCCCACAGCCACCAAUCAUCAUAGUAUUCCAGGGAGUAAAAAAUAAUGGCUAAUGAUUUCCAUAAAAACAAGAACCAUAUUGAUUCAAAACAGGCCAAAAAAUACGAGAAAUAAAUAGUUUCAUCCACAUUAGAAAACUGGUGGGAGUAAAAAUUAGCCCAUUAGCAUAUUUGCUUAUUAUUUUAUCUUGACCAAACUGUAAAUUGCAUAUGGAAUUUAGUUAACUAAUGUUUUGGACACUGCUUUAAGUAAUAUGACCAAAUUCCCUAAAUGACUUUGUUGCAUAAUGGGAGAUAAAAAUUUUCUUUCUGCUCACCCUUUGGGAUCCAAACUUCUAGAAAAAAGAAAAUCAUUUUAAACAUGUUCUUCAUUGUUGAGGUUAAAUAUAUGUUCUACAUUGUUGAGGAAGAGUUAGGUUAGGGUAGGUUGUUAGGUUGGUUAGCUAGGUCGGACUGAUGGUAGCAAUGCUUAAAACCCCUCCAAAGUUUGCUGUUGUGUACAUGUUGUAAUUUAAUGUUGCUGUGUAAAAUUUAUCCAGAUAGUUGAUAACCAUAACUAAGAAACUGCUAAGCACUGGAUUAUAGAUAGCAGUGUGUACAGUAAGUACCUGUGGCAGUCAGGUCUGAGAUGGUGACCACUGCAGUAAUUAAAAUCUUCAAGAUGAGCACUUACGCAUUCAAGUAUUACAACAGGUGGACUUAGUUCCAUGCAGGUGAAGGACCUCCAGAGGACACCACCUACACUGUUGUCCUGCGGACACUGUCACUAACAGCUGUUUGCAGAACUGCCAGUCCCUGACAAGAGAGUCUGGCUCUCUGUGAGGACCACAGCCAUCCACCCACCAGCAGUAGUGUUAGAGUCAUCCAGCCCUCAUCUGCUGGUGUUGCUAGGGCCUCUGGAUUCAUUGUUGCUGUGGGUGCAUCAUGUGAAGUUUUAGCAGUGGACAUCAGUGUUUGAAGUCAUCCAUCUUACAGAUGACAUCACCCAGUGGUGAAUAACUGUUGCCACUCAUUCAUGUUAACAUGUAUUCAAUUUUGUUCUUCAGUGCAUACCUAUGAACAUUGUAUGUACAUUUAGCAUAUGAGCCAUACUUUUGAAUGGUCUGUAUUACAGUUGAUUAAUAUGGUAAUUAAAUGCCUUAUUUGUGCAGUACAUUAUUA